GUCGAGGCUAGAGUCACACCUCUGCACUCCUAGUGGCUUUGGUGUGCUAGAGUUCUCGAAGAGUAAUUGCUGAUGUUUGUUUAACGGUUGGUUUUCCAUGUAGCCCAACCAGUCACCGAUGCAGCAACAUCU
Rana temporaria (common frog) is the source of this 132-nucleotide small nucleolar RNA. RefSeq annotates it as small nucleolar RNA SNORA3/SNORA45 family. The record is from RefSeq and is a predicted model, not a curated record. NCBI's taxonomy places the organism in Eukaryota, Metazoa, Chordata, Amphibia, Anura, Ranidae. The transcript has a single exon.